UGAGCGGCGGCACGGACAGAGCGGAGGCCUGGCUAUACCUGCUGGAAUGGAUAAAGUGAGCUUUAAAAGUUGAUCAGACUGAAGAGAUUGAAGUGAGAGAACCACAGGAACAAAGAAGGGGAAACUGAAGCAGAAAGAGGUUACUUAAUGGGCUCAAGGUCACCUACCUGACCUACCAGCAGCUCAAUGGCCUUCCCAAAGAAGAAACUUCAGGGUCUUGUGGCUGCAACCAUCACGCCAAUGACUGAGGAUGGAGAAAUCAACUUUUCAGUAAUUGGUCAGUAUGUGGAUUAUCUUGUGAAAGAACAGGGAGUGAAGAACAUUUUUGUGAAUGGCACAACGGGAGAAGGCCUGUCCCUGAGCGUCUCAGAGCGUCGCCAGGUCGCAGAGGAGUGGGUGACAAAAGGGAAGGACAAGCUGGAUCAGGUGAUAAUUCACGUAGGAGCACUGAGCUUGAAGGAGUCACAGGAACUGGCCCAACAUGCAGCAGAAAUAGGAGCUGAUGGCAUCGCUGUCAUUGCACCAUUCUUCCUCAAGCCAUGGACCAAAGAUAUCCUGAUUAAUUUCCUAAAGGAAGUGGCUGC
This 584-nucleotide small RNA is filed under the name Pongo abelii (Sumatran orangutan). Its description in RNAcentral is "processed transcript". Lineage: Eukaryota; Metazoa; Chordata; Mammalia; Primates; Hominidae. The record is from RNAcentral.